CUGGCUCCCAGGGAGAGGCACAGCGUCGGUCAGCAGGCAAAUGGACACCCUCCCCGUCAUAACCCGCCAGGCACUGCCGGAGGGAGUGAACACGUGGCCUGGCACAUCUGGGCAUUUCCAACUGUUGGACGCAGGGUUCUUCCAGCAUGCCCGUUUUAGAAACCCCACUAUGAGGUUCGCCUGCGGUGGUGCGAACCCCAGGCUCACUCGUCGCUCUGACUGAAAGGCAGGGAGAAAACAGGAAGAAAGAAGCUGGGAAUGCCCACAGGCAGAGGGAAGGUGCCAGGGCCUGGCGGCCGGGAGAGGCCUCCCCGUGUGAUUCCAGUGGCCGCCAGGCAGUUCAGAGUGUUCAAGUGCACAGAGAUGAAUGGAACCAUUUCUGCCCUCCGGAGCUUGGGAGUUGAGCAUGAGCUGUGUCAUGGGUGGCAAACUGCAUGUGCAGUCAGGGAGGGCUUCCUGGAAGAGGUCACCCGGCUCCCGGCUGGCCCCUGAAUGGCUGUCGCUGCCGGAAUGACUGCCCGAGUCCGAGACCCUGCUCAGGUCGCUGUUCUGGGAGGAAUUCUGAGAGCUGGGGCCGCUGUCCAGCUCAUCCCAGCCCCCUCCGGCCUGCCCAGGCUGAUGCCUCACAGCUGGAGGAAACAGGACAGCCGGUGAGAUCCCUGGGGCUUCAGGCCAGCCCCAUGCCCACCUCCCGGGGCCCUGGACCAGGAGGCCUCGGGGGCUGAGUCCUGAGCUGAGGAUGGGUGGCCACCUUGGCUCCAGCUUCAGCAAACACCAGCCCCAUGGGCAUGUGCUUCCGCCGCGGGUCCCACCCC
RNAcentral lists this long non-coding RNA (815 nucleotides) under Homo sapiens (human). Its description in RNAcentral is "long non-coding RNA NONHSAT175736.1". The record is from RNAcentral. Lineage: Eukaryota; Metazoa; Chordata; Mammalia; Primates; Hominidae.